AUUGAACGCUGGCGGCAGGCUUAACACAUGCAAGUCGAGCGGGGUGAUGGUGCUUGCACUAUCACUUAGCGGCGGACGGGUGAGUAAUGCUUAGGAAUCUGCCUAUUAGUGGGGGACAACAUCUCGAAAGGGAUGCUAAUACCGCAUACGUCCUACGGGAGAAAGCAGGGGAUCACUUGUGACCUUGCGCUAAUAGAUGAGCCUACGUCGGAUUAGCUAGUUGGUGGGGUAAAGGCCUACCAAGGCGACGAGCUGUAGCGGGUCUGAGAGGAUGAUCCGCCACACUGGGACUGAGACACGGCCCAGACUCCUACGGGAGGCAGCAGUGGGGAAUAUUGGACAAUGGGGGGAACCCUGAUCCAGCCAUGCCGCGUGUGUGAAGAAGGCCUUAUGGUUGUAAAGCACUUUAAGCGAGGAGGAGGCUCUUUUGGUUAAUACCCAGAAUGAGUGGACGUUACUCGCAGAAUAAGCACCGGCUAACUCUGUGCCAGCAGCCGCCGUAA
Molecule: ribosomal RNA, 503 nt
Filed under: uncultured bacterium
Lineage: Bacteria
Description: partial 16S ribosomal RNA
Rfam family: Bacterial small subunit ribosomal RNA
Source: RNAcentral